Molecule: ribosomal RNA, 122 nt
Filed under: Exophiala sp.
Lineage: Eukaryota; Fungi; Ascomycota; Eurotiomycetes; Chaetothyriales; Herpotrichiellaceae
Description: partial large subunit ribosomal RNA
Source: RNAcentral
CGGCAACAGCUCAAAUUUGAAAUCUGGCCUCUUUUGGGGUCCGAGUUGUAAUUUGUAGAGGAUGUUUUGGGUACCGCACUGGUUUAAAUUUCUUGGAACAGAAUGUCAGAGAGGGUGAGAAU